RNAcentral lists this unclassified non-coding RNA (343 nucleotides) under Gemmobacter megaterium. RNAcentral describes it as "Long range pseudoknot". Lineage: Bacteria; Pseudomonadati; Pseudomonadota; Alphaproteobacteria; Rhodobacterales; Paracoccaceae. The record is from RNAcentral.
ACGGACGAUCACGAUUACCAGGUCAAGAUGCGGUCUGUGCUCAAGUUCCUUGAAGAAGGCGACAAGGUGAAGAUUACCCUGCGCUUUCGCGGCAGGGAAAUGGCACACCAGCAGCUUGGCAUGGAUCUGCUGAAUCGUGUGGCGGCGGACGUGAACGCCUUGGGCAAGAUCGAAUCGAUGCCCAAGCUCGAAGGCCGCCAGAUGGUCAUGAUGAUCGGCCCGCGGUAAUCCGCAGCCCGACGCAGAACCGCACGUUCAGGCCCCUUCCGCAAGGAUGGGGCCUUUUCGCUGUGCUCAGGCCGGUUCGCAGAACAUGUCAUAGACCAGCGCGAUGGUGCGCUGC